GACGAACGCUGGCGGCGUGCUUAACACAUGCAAGUCGAACGGAAAGGCCCUGCUUUUGUGGGGUGCUCGAGUGGCGAACGGGUGAGUAACACGUGAGUAACCUGCCCUUGACUUUGGGAUAACUUCAGGAAACUGGGGCUAAUACCGGAUAGGAGCUCCUGCUGCAUGGUGGGGGUUGGAAAGUUUCGGCGGUUGGGGAUGGACUCGCGGCUUAUCAGCUUGUUGGUGGGGUAGUGGCUUACCAAGGCUUUGACGGGUAGCCGGCCUGAGAGGGUGACCGGCCACAUUGGGACUGAGAUACGGCCCGGACUCCUCGGGGGGGCAGCAGUGGGGAAUAUUGCACAAGGGGCGGAAGCCUGAUGCAGCAACGCCGCGUGCGGGAUGACGGCCUUCGGGUUGUAAACCGCUUUCGCCUGUGACGAAGCGUGAGUGACGGUAAUGGGUAAAGAAGCACCGGCUAACUACGUG
Molecule: ribosomal RNA, 468 nt
Filed under: uncultured bacterium
Lineage: Bacteria
Description: partial 16S ribosomal RNA
Rfam family: Bacterial small subunit ribosomal RNA
Source: RNAcentral